This is a non-coding RNA of Perkinsus marinus ATCC 50983, 58 nucleotides long. The record is from Rfam. Lineage: Eukaryota; Perkinsozoa; Perkinsida; Perkinsidae.
GCCGGGAUGGUCUAGUGGUUAUGACGUCUGCCUUACACGCAGAAGAUCGCGAGUUCAA